AUAGCUCGCGAAUCCCUACGAUCGACUUAGAACGGGCACAGCAGCUGAUACAAGAUGAAGCUGCUCUUUCUUCUCGGUAUUAUAUUCUCGUCAGUAAUCAUGUUGGCGGAACCGACGGAAGGCCUUUCCAGUCGGAGAGGCAGUAUUCCAUGCGCGUGCUUCAGGGAACCCUGUCCUUGUCCGCUGUAGUAAACACCUAUGACAAGACUUACCACCUGGACCUCUGCACCAACCUAAAAGGGAUUCUCUUUUCCAAGCAUGAGCAAGCUUCUUUUUCAGUUUCAAUAAAAGAGGUUGUGAUGA
Long non-coding RNA from Penaeus chinensis, 303 nucleotides. RefSeq lists it as uncharacterized. NCBI's taxonomy places the organism in Eukaryota, Metazoa, Arthropoda, Malacostraca, Decapoda, Penaeidae. The transcript has 3 exons. The record is from RefSeq and is a predicted model, not a curated record.